GCAAACGUCAGACAGACUCCCGAUCUAGCGACAAAUGGACUUUCAAAACAGAAAAAAGUAUGAAUAAAACUAUAAGAGUUUACGUGCUGAUGCCAGAGGCAUUUAAGAUAUGGUGUAGCAAUAGAAACCAUUCCUUAUAAUGUUAUUGCAAACGUCAUCCAAGACAUUGUAUGGUAUGGAUAUGACCAUUCUGUGUCUGUGAUAAAGAAACGUGGAAAUGGAGUGGUACUAUACUAACAUAAUCUUAUUAAUCCUUUUUUUCUAUAAUAGAAAUCUUAAAAUUCAUAAACCAAUAAAUCUCUGAAAGCAGGUUGUGAUAUAUAUUAAAAACAAUGGACAAGUACAACUAGAGUAAAUUGUAAAUUAAGGAUUUCCUAAUCAGGUACACAUCCGUGCUAUACCAAUUCAUUUGUAACAGAAAACCCAGAAAAAUAUAUUUAACAUGUAACAACAAACUGUAUUUGCAUGCCCUCUUUGUCUUUGAAUUUUUCGUAAAAUCAGGAUGAUUACCGUAGAUAAAAAACACUACGUAAAUUUAAAAAUAAAAGAUUUCACUUACAUUCGUAAUGACGCACGUAACUGUAAAAGGACUCUCGACACCAAAAUAUAUAUCUUCAGACCCGACAAGCACAGCUUGUGGUUCAACAAUUCGUAAUUCGACAGACUGGGUGGAUGCGGAUUUCCUAGUCGUGAUCUGUAAGUAGAAGAAUCAGUUUAGGAAAGCAGAAGCGGCCGUUAUACUUUUCAGUUUAAGAGUAAAAUAAAGCUGUUCCAACCUGAAA
Long non-coding RNA from Daphnia carinata, 782 nucleotides. RefSeq lists it as uncharacterized. The transcript is spliced from 3 exons. Lineage: Eukaryota; Metazoa; Arthropoda; Branchiopoda; Diplostraca; Daphniidae. The record is from RefSeq and is a predicted model, not a curated record.